UAGCUAGUUGGUGAGGUAAAGGCUUAUCAAGGCGACGAUCUGUAGCGGGUCUGAGAGGAUGAUCCGCCACACUGGAACUGAGACACGGUCCAGACUCCUACGGGAGGCAGCAGUGGGGAAUUUUGGACAAUGGGGGCAACCCUGAUCCAGCCAUGCCGCGUGAGUGAAGAAGGCCUUCGGGUUGUAAAGCUCUUUCGGCCGGGAAGAAAUCGCAUGGGCCAAUACCCUGUGUGGAUGACGGUACCGGAAUAAGAAGCACCGGCUAACUACGUGCCAGCAGCCGCGGUAAUACGUAGGGUGCGAGCGUUAAUCGGAAUUACUGGGCGUAAAGCGUGCGCAGGCGGUUUUGUAAGACAGGCGUGAAAUCCCCGGGCUUAACCUGGGAACUGCGUUUGUGACUGCAAGGCUAGAGUACGGCAGAGGGGGGUGGAAUUCCACGUGUAGCAGUGUAAUGCGUAGAGAUGUGGAGGAACACCAAUGGCGAAGGCAGCCCCCUGGGUCGAUACUGACGCUCAUGCACGAAAGCGUGGGUAGCAAACAGGAUUAGAUACCCUGGUAGUCCACGCCCUAAACUAUGUCAACUAGGUGUUGGGUGGGUAAAACCAUUUAGUACCGUAGCUAACGCGUGAAGUUGACCGCCUGGGGAGUACGGCCGCAAGGUUAAAACUUAAAGGAAUUGACGGGGACCCGCACAAGCGGUGGAUGAUGUGGAUUAAUUCGAUGCAACGCGAAAAACCUUACCUACCCUUGACAUGCCAGGAACUUGCCAGAGAUGGCUUGGUGCCCAAAGGGAGCCUGGACACAGGUGCUGCAUGGCUGUCGUCAGCUCGUGUCGUGAGAUGUUGGGUUAAGUCCCGCAACGAGCGCAACCCUUGUCGUUAAUUGCCAUCAUUUAGUUGGGCACUUUAACGAGACUGCCGGUGACAAACCGGAGGAAGGUGGGGAUGACGUCAAGUCCUCAUGGCCCUUAUGGGUAGGGCUUCACACGUCAUACAAUGGUCGGUACAAAGGGUUGCCAAGCCGCGAGGCGGAGCCAAUCCCAGAAAGCCGAUCGUAGUCCGGAUUGCAGGCUGCAACUCGCCUGCAUGAAGUCGGAAUCGCUAGUAAUCGUGGAUCAGCAUGUCACGGUGAAUACGUUCCCGGGUCUUGUACACACCGCCCGUCACACCAUGGGAGCGGGUUCCGCCAGAAGUGGGUAGCCUAACCGCAAGGGGGGCGCUUACCACGGCGGGGUUCGUGACUGGGGUGAAGUCGUAACAAGGUAGCCGUAGGGGAACCUGCGGCUG
RNAcentral lists this ribosomal RNA (1286 nucleotides) under metagenome. RNAcentral describes it as "bacterial SSU rRNA". It matches the Rfam family "Bacterial small subunit ribosomal RNA", at positions 242 to 1520 of the family's 1533-position model. The record is from RNAcentral.